UACGUAGGGGGCGAGCGUUGUCCGAAGUUACUGGGCGUAAAGCGCGCGUAGGCGGCCAUUUAAGUUCGGGGUGAAAGGUUCAGCGCUCAACGCGAACAGUGCCCUGGAUACUGGGUGGCUUGAGUCCGGGAGGGGGCAGUGGAAUUCCGGGUGUAGCGGUGAAAUGCGUAGAUAUCCGGAGGAACACCGAUGGCGAAGGCAGCUGCCUGGCCUAGGACUGACGCUGAGGUGCGAAAGCGUGGGGAGCGAACGGG
RNAcentral lists this ribosomal RNA (254 nucleotides) under uncultured bacterium. RNAcentral's name for it is "partial 16S ribosomal RNA". It matches the Rfam family "Bacterial small subunit ribosomal RNA", at positions 524 to 776 of the family's 1533-position model. The record is from RNAcentral.